This 733-nucleotide long non-coding RNA is filed under the name Jatropha curcas. RNAcentral's name for it is "long non-coding RNA (JCUR_LNC002187)". The record is from RNAcentral. Lineage: Eukaryota; Viridiplantae; Streptophyta; Magnoliopsida; Malpighiales; Euphorbiaceae.
CAAAUUGCUGUAAAGGAGGGGUAUUAAAUUCAUGGGCACAGGACCCUGCUACGGCAGUAAGCUCUUUUCAAGUUAGUGUAGGUGCUGCUGGAACCUCUAACAAAACAGUUAGAUUGCCAAAGAACUUCACCUUGAAAGCACCAGGGCCUGGAUACACUUGUGGGCCGGCAAAGAUUGUGAGACCGACCAAAUUUAUCUCGAGUGAUAAAAGGAGAUCCACUCAAGCUUUGAGUAAGUUAUAAGCUAAUGUUUCAAACAAUUUAGAGGUUCAUUAACAUAAUUUUUUUUUCUAGACUGGAUUGAAUAACCAACCUGCUAAUCUAAUACGGACAUUUUGAGCCUGUGAUGGUGGUUAAUUGGCACCAGGAAUAUCCUCAUAAAUUAAUUUGCUUGCAUUUGUAUAAUUUAUCUUUCACCAAGAAAUAACUUCAUGUUGUUAUACUGAAAUUUUUAUGGACCAAAGAUUGAAUUAGUGUAAUCAAUACCAAUAUUUACCGUCCUCAGUAUAUGUGUAAUAUGAUUUUCAUUAUGGCCUAACAACUUUCUGGGUUUAUCUAACGUUAGUUGCAUAUCAUGGCAGUGACCUGGAAUGUUACUUGUACAUAUUCACAAUUCCUGGCUCAGAAGACACCCACCUGUUGCGUUUCUUUGUCCUCCUUCUAUAAUGAAACAAUAGUAAGCUGUCCAACUUGUGCUUGUGGAUGUCAAAACAGCACCACAGGAGCUGGGGCUG